Molecule: long non-coding RNA, 3845 nt
Organism: Canis lupus familiaris (dog)
Lineage: Eukaryota; Metazoa; Chordata; Mammalia; Carnivora; Canidae
Exons: 3
Source: RefSeq, a predicted model, not a curated record
AAUCAAUAAAUAAAAUCUUAAAAAAAAAGAAAAAACACAAGUUUAAAAAUAAUAAUAAUAAUAAUGCAUGCAGUUUGUUUUUAUAUUUAUAUUUUUGUUCCCCCUAGAAUUUAUUUUGGUGACUAGACUGAGAUCAGGCUCCAGAUGCCUAACUAGUUGUCUGAGCAUCAUUCAUGGAAUAAACCAUCUACUCCCCUCUGACUUGAAAUGCCACCUUUAAUGUAAUUAUUCCUUAGUUUAUCUGGAUCUGGGGGAUCCCUGGGUGGUUCAGUGGUUUAGCGCAGCCUUCAGCCCAGGGCCUGAUCCUGGAGUCCCGGGAUCGAAUCCCACGUCAGGUUCCCUGCAUGGAGCCUGCUUCUCCCUCUGCCUGUGUCUCUGCCUCUCUUUCUCUCUAUGUCUCAUGAAUAAAUAAGUAAAAAUCUUUAAAACAAAAUUUAUUUGGAUCUGUUUCUGGAUCCUCUAACCCAUUGUUCUUGGGAGAGAGGUGCUUAUUUUAGGUUGUCUCUUUAAAAUCCAAUCCUGGCUUGGUCCUGUGUGAAUUCUUUAGUUAGAAUUUCAUAAACACUAGGAAAUUGUAGAUCAUAAUAACAGACGAUUUCAAGCUUCUAAUAAAACUGUAUUCAAGUUUAGUCUUUCUUUAGAUUGGUUGCCUUCAGGCACCAGUGAUGAUGGUGAUGAUGGUCUUUCAUUAGACCAGAUUCAACCUUUUCAAAGUUGGAAAGCCUCAUAAAGGUCCCAUUCACAAAACAUGCCUCAAGAUAUUCUCAUCUUUGGCUUCAGUUCUCUGAUGCCUGAAAUUAGACCUCAGGAAAUCUUGUUUUUGGAUUAUGAUCAUCUGCAUUGAAUUACAAGUGUACUUUGUUACCUAUAGGUAGUGUAUAAAUUGUACCUCAUCGAGGGCAACCACCUGCAUGAACUUAGGAGUCACACUGCCUGGUUUAAAUUCUAGCUCUGCUGAAAUGUGUGACCUUGGACAAGUGACUUAAUGUCUCUCGUCUCAAUUCCCUUAGGGUGUGAAAUGGGGAUAGUCUUAGUUGUCUGUGAGCCUUAAACAUUUGUGACAUGCCCCAGAGGAUACCGAGGCAUAGUGAGUGCUCAGUACUUUUGGCAUCACUCAAGACCACCCAGUAAAAAGGGGUACUUACUCAGGUUAUCUUAAACAGAAAAGGGGGAAUUUAUUAUAAAGAUAUAGGAGAUUUAUAACAGAUCCCAAAAGUAAGUAUAGUUUGGGCCUUACAGGUUCCUACAAUGUGGAAGGUAGAAUGUGGUCAGAAAUAGAGAUUUUUUUUUUUCCAUCUGUUUUUCACUGGAGUGUUUUAUUCUCUGCAAGCCAGCCAGCAUGAUUUGUUUCCUAGCUGGCAACCAUCACCCUUGGAUAUCUAAGUUGGGCUUGUACCUUUUUUUGCAAACUAGUCAGUCUUACUAAUGUCAUAGAGAAUGAGAAGGAGGAAAAGAAUAUUGGUCAGUUUGAGUGGAGAAAGACCAUAGAAGAUAAAGGUUUCCUGCUUUUGCUUUGAACCAGUGGAUCUUUAAAAAAAAAAAAAAAAAAGUAAUAACUUUCCAACAACCAGUUACCAGUUUUUGUGUAUUUUUUCAAAGGUUGUAUGCCUAUACAAGAAAUAGAAAUAAUAAAUAGAAACAUAUAUUUUAUUCAUCCCUGUUACCUUUUACACAAAUUAUAACAUACCAUGCUACUUACAUUAAGAUUAAGAGAUAUAUUUUGGGAGCACCUGACUGGCUUGGUCAGAGCAUGUGACUCUGAAUUUCAGGGCUGUAAGUUUGAGCUCCACAUUGUGUGUAGAGAUUACUUAAAAUCUUAAAAAAUAUAUAUAUAUAUAUAUAUAUACACACACACACACAUAUAUAUAUUGAAUAGCAUUACAUAUUAGUGAGUAAAGAGCCUUCUUAUAGCUGGGUAGUAUUAUGCAGAUGAUAUGUUAGACUUUUUUGUUUUGUUUUGUUUUUUAGUGUGUUACACUUUAAUCAGUAUCCUGUUGUUGAACAUUUAGUUGUUGAAACCAUGCAGAGAUGAAUAACUUUGUACAUGUGUUGUUUUGCAUCUUUGUGAGCAUACUUGUGGGAUAAAUUUGUAGAAAUGAAAUUAUACAAAGGGUAUUACAUUUUUAAGUUACCUCUACACCCAACAUGGGGGUUGAACUUACAACCCUGAAGUCUAGAGUUGUGCACUCCAUCCUCUGAGCCAGCCAGGCACCCAAAGGAUGCUGCAUUUUUUUUUUUUUUUUAGAUUUUAUUUAUUUAUUCAUGAGAGACACAGGGAGAGAGAGAGAGGCAGAGACACAGGCAGAGGGAGAAGCAGGCUCCACACAGGGAGCCUGAAGUGGGAUUCAAUCCCCAGGAUCAUGCACUGGGCUGAAGGUGGUGCUAAACCGCUGAGCCACGCGGGCUGCCCAGGUGCUGCAUUUUCAUAGACAUUUCCCAGUUGUCGUCCAAAGAGGUUACAACCCCUCCAGCCACGUGUCAAAUUCUCUGGCAAGUUUCGGAGUCUUGAUAGAGUCAAUUAGAUCUCUAAGUUGUUUGCUUUCAGCCCAUACUCCUUCCCAGAUAUUAAAGGGUUCUAGAACAACUUCUCCCUCAAAAUUUGCAUUGUUAAAAAAAACACAUUAUUUGGUGCUUUCUAAUUUGUAACAGCCAAAAGUCAGCAACAUGUACUUCUGACCAAGUUACUAGCCCAACUCUGAACAAUCCCUGUUCCGUGGCUUCUGUAUAUUCCCUUAGAGUUCUACACACAGUACAGUUCUGUACCCAGCAAGCAGGAAAGAGAUGGAUGGCUGCAAGUACAGAAACUACUUCAAAACUUCUCUAUAGAUUACGAAUUUCCUUUUUUUUUUAUUGUGAAUUUCUGAUUCUAUUUUCUUCCCCUCUAUUGGGAACUGCUAUUAUAUCUCCCACACACACAGCUUAAAAGAAGAAUAUUCUAGGGAUCCCUGCGUGGUGCAGCGGUUUGGCGCCUGCCUUUGGCCCAGGGCGCGGUCCUGGAGACCCGGGAUCGAAUCCCACGUCGGGCUCCCGGUGCAUGGAGCCUGCUUCUCCCUCUGCCUGUGUCUCUGCCUCUCUCUCUCACUGUGUGCCUAUCAUAAAUAAAUAAAAGUUUAAAAAAAAAAUUUUUUAAAAAAAGAAGAAUAUUCUAGAUCAGAACCCUUCCUGCAGAACCUAGAAUGAGUUGUAUACAACCAAAAUGACUAGAGAGACUUCAGUAUCUCACUAGUGGUGAUAAUUAAAUUUAUAUUUAUUUGCAUAACUAAGAAUAAGCGAGGGCUGUCAUGGAAACUGUAACAUGAUACCUGGGUGCUUGGACAACAUGGAGGGUGGCCAUAAAGUCUGAAAAACGAUACUAUUAUUUUAUCGUGUAUUGAAAUAGAAUCUCCAGAAACCAUUAAUAAUGUAUUCUUUUAUGUUCCCAGGUUUCUUGGCAACCCUGAAAUCUAGUACAGCGGUGAGGAGAGUUCAGGGAGAGUAUGAUGCUCUCCCUUGGAAUCCAGCCGCCCUGAUGUGAGGAAGCAGACCUAUGGAGAGGCCACGUGGAUCCCAGCCCACAGCCAGAAUAACCUCCGAGCCCGUGAAUGACUGCAGAAGGCGUUGUCUGGUCCCAGCGCCUUUCCUUGGAAGGUGAUGGUUCAGUCUCUUCAGAAUCCAUUCUUCUCUUCCUCCUCCUUCAAACUCCCAGUGUGGCUGGAUUCCCUGGAUGGCUGGGUGUUCUCCCUUUUCUCAACUUUUUUUUUUUUUUUUUAAGAUUUUAAUUUAUUCAUGAGAAACAGAGAAGGCGGAGACACAGGCAGAGGGAGAAGCAGGCUCCCUGCAGGGCCGUGAUGAUCCAAUUUAAAAAG